This 765-nucleotide ribosomal RNA is filed under the name uncultured Streptococcus sp. Its description in RNAcentral is "bacterial SSU rRNA". It matches the Rfam family "Bacterial small subunit ribosomal RNA", at positions 28 to 776 of the family's 1533-position model. The record is from RNAcentral. Lineage: Bacteria; Bacillati; Bacillota; Bacilli; Lactobacillales; Streptococcaceae.
GAUGAAAGCUGGCGGCGUGCCUAAUACAUGCAAGUAGAACGCUGAAGCUUGGUGCUUGCACCGAGCGGAUGAGUUGCGAACGGGUGAGUAACACGUAGGUAACCUGCCUCUUAGCGGGGGAUAACUAUUGGAAACGAUAGCUAAUACCGCAUAAAAGUCAAUAUCGCAUGAUAUUGAUUUGAAAGGUGCAAAUGCAUCACUAAGAGAUGGACCUGCGUUGUAUUAGCUAGUUGGUGAGGUAACGGCUCACCAAGGCGACGAUACAUAGCCGACCUGAGAGGGUGAUCGGCCACACUGGGACUGAGACACGGCCCAGACUCCUACGGGAGGCAGCAGUAGGGAAUCUUCGGCAAUGGGGGCAACCCUGACCGAGCAACGCCGCGUGAGUGAAGAAGGUUUUCGGAUCGUAAAGCUCUGUUGUAAGAGAAGAACGAGUGUGAGAGUGGAAAGUUCACACUGUGACGGUAACUUACCAGAAAGGGACGGCUAACUACGUGCCAGCAGCCGCGGUAAUACGUAGGUCCCGAGCGUUAUCCGGAUUUAUUGGGCGUAAAGCGAGCGCAGGCGGUUAGAUAAGUCUGAAGUUAAAGGCUGUGGCUUAACCAUAGUACGCUUUGGAAACUGUUUAACUUGAGUGCAGAAGGGGAGAGUGGAAUUCCAUGUGUAGCGGUGAAAUGCGUAGAUAUAUGGAGGAACACCGGUGGCGAAAGCGGCUCUCUGGUCUGUAACUGACGCUGAGGCUCGAAAGCGUGGGGAGCAAACAGG